RNAcentral lists this ribosomal RNA (801 nucleotides) under uncultured archaeon. Its description in RNAcentral is "bacterial SSU rRNA". It matches the Rfam family "Archaeal small subunit ribosomal RNA", at positions 25 to 847 of the family's 1478-position model. The record is from RNAcentral.
CCCCGUUAUGGGAUGAACUAAGCCAUGCGAGUCAUUGUAGUAAUACAAGGCAGACGGCUCAGUAACGCGUACUCUACCUAACCUAUGGACGGGAAUAACCUCGGGAAACUGAGCAUAAUGCCCGAUAGAACACUAUGCCUGGAAUGGUUUGUGUUCCAAAUGAUUUAUCGCCGUAGGAUGGGACUGCGCCCUAUCAGUUUGUUGGUGAGGUAAUGGCCCACCAAGACUAUUACAGGUACGGGCUCUGAGAGGAGUGGCCCGGAGAUGGGUACUGAGACACGGACCCAGGUCCUAUGGGGCGCAGCUAGCGAGAAAACUUUGCUAUGUGCGAAAGCACGACAAGGUUAAUCCGAGUGUUUUCUGCUAAAGAGACCUUUUGUCGGCCUAGAACCACCGAUUGAUAAGGGUUGGUCAAGUUCUGUUGGCCCCCGCGCCGGUAAACCCAGCCCCUCAAGUGGCCAGGAGAUAUUUGGGCCUAAGCAUUCGGAGCCGGGUUGUUAGUUUCCGGUUAAUCUGGUCGCUCCAAGUACAGGGCUGCCGGAAUACUGCCAAGGUUUGGAGUGGGAGAGGUAGACCGUACUCGGUAAGAAGGGGAAAAUUCUUUUAUCCUUUUGUGACCCCUUGUGGGGAAGGCGGCUAACAAAACACCUCCCAAAGGGAGGGAUGAAACUGGGGGAUCCACCGGGUUAAAAACCCGGGUAGUCCCCCCUGUUAACUUUCCAAAUCCAUGGUGGCUUGGCUGUGAGCCAUAGUAAGGUUCCAGGGAACCCUUAGGUUGCCCCCGGGAAGCUCGUCCGCAAG